GGUGUUGGUGGUUGGCAGUCCUAGCUUCCAGGAUGGGGUUCAAGUCCCUGCAGCAUC
RNAcentral lists this small RNA (57 nucleotides) under Anolis carolinensis (green anole). The record is from RNAcentral. Lineage: Eukaryota; Metazoa; Chordata; Lepidosauria; Squamata; Anolidae.